This 515-nucleotide ribosomal RNA is filed under the name Escherichia coli. RNAcentral's name for it is "partial 23S ribosomal RNA". It matches the Rfam family "Bacterial large subunit ribosomal RNA", at positions 2261 to 2775 of the family's 2925-position model. Lineage: Bacteria; Pseudomonadati; Pseudomonadota; Gammaproteobacteria; Enterobacterales; Enterobacteriaceae. RNAcentral also lists the same sequence under 2 other names. The record is from RNAcentral.
GUGGGUAGUUUGACUGGGGCGGUCUCCUCCUAAAGAGUAACGGAGGAGCACGAAGGUUGGCUAAUCCUGGUCGGACAUCAGGAGGUUAGUGCAAUGGCAUAAGCCAGCUUGACUGCGAGCGUGACGGCGCGAGCAGGUGCGAAAGCAGGUCAUAGUGAUCCGGUGGUUCUGAAUGGAAGGGCCAUCGCUCAACGGAUAAAAGGUACUCCGGGGAUAACAGGCUGAUACCGCCCAAGAGUUCAUAUCGACGGCGGUGUUUGGCACCUCGAUGUCGGCUCAUCACAUCCUGGGGCUGAAGUAGGUCCCAAGGGUAUGGCUGUUCGCCAUUUAAAGUGGUACGCGAGCUGGGUUUAGAACGUCGUGAGACAGUUCGGUCCCUAUCUGCCGUGGGCGCUGGAGAACUGAGGGGGGCUGCUCCUAGUACGAGAGGACCGGAGUGGACGCAUCACUGGUGUUCGGGUUGUCAUGCCAAUGGCACUGCCCGGUAGCUAAAUGCGGAAGAGAUAAGUGCUGAA